Ribosomal RNA from Panthera pardus (leopard), 112 nucleotides. The record is from Ensembl. Lineage: Eukaryota; Metazoa; Chordata; Mammalia; Carnivora; Felidae.
GACAUUUGGUAGAGACUGUUGAAGCCACCUGGUUCCAGCAGACCCCAGAAGGCAGCCAAGUUCACUGGUCUGGGGCAAGGUUGUUAAGGGUGAAGCCUGGUGCCAGAUGUGU